RNAcentral lists this ribosomal RNA (406 nucleotides) under uncultured bacterium. RNAcentral describes it as "partial 16S ribosomal RNA". It matches the Rfam family "Bacterial small subunit ribosomal RNA", at positions 30 to 526 of the family's 1533-position model. The record is from RNAcentral.
AUUGAACGCUGGCGGCAGGCCUAACACAUGCAAGUCGAACGAGUGGCGGACGGGUGAGUAAUGUCUGGGAAACUGCCUGAUGGAGGGGGAUAACUACUGGAAACGGUAGCUAAUACCGCAUACCAUCGGAUGUGCCCAUAUGGGAUUAGCUCUGUGGGGGGGUAAAGGCUCACCUAGGCGACGAUCCCUAGCUGGUCUGAGAGGAUGACCAGCCACACUGGAACUGAGACACGGCCCAGACUCCUACGGGAGGCAGCAGUGGGGAAUAUUGCACAAUGGGCGCAAGCCUGAUUCAGCCAUGCCGCGUGUAUGAAGAAGGCCUUCGGGUUGUAAAGUACUUUCAGCGGGGAGGCGUUACCCGCAGAAGAAGCACCGGCUAACUCCGUGCCAGCAGCCGCGGUAAUUC